UUGCCGGCGACCGGCGCACGGGUGAGUAACGCGUAUCCCCUCUUCCGCUUACUCGGGGAUAGCCUUUCGAAAGAAAGAUUAAUACCCGAUGGUAUCUUAAGCACGCAUGAGAUUAAGAUUAAAGAUUUAUCGGUAAGCGAUGGGGAUGCGUUCCAUUAGGCAGUUGGCGGGGUAACGGCCCACCAAACCUACGAUGGAUAGGGGUUCUGAGAGGAAGGUCCCCCACAUUGGAACUGAGACACGGUCCAAACUCCUACGGGAGGCAGCAGUGAGGAAUAUUGGUCAAUGGGCGAGAGCCUGAACCAGCCAAGUAGCGUGAAGGAUGACGGCCCUACGGGUUGUAAACUUCUUUUGUGCGGGAAUAAAGGAGCCUACGUGUAGGCUUUUGCAUGUACCGUAACGAAUAAGCAUCGGCUAACUCCGUGCCAGCAGCCGCGGUAAUACGGAGGAUGCGAGCGUUAUCCGGAUUUAUUGGGUUUAAAGGGAGCGUAGACGGGUUUUUAAGUCAGCUGUGAAAGUUUGGGGCUCAACCUUAAAAUUGCAGUUGAAACUGGAGACCUUGAGUACGGUUGAGGCAGGCGGAAUUCGUGGUGUAGCGGUGAAAUGCUUAGAUAUCACGAAGAACUCCGAUUG
RNAcentral lists this ribosomal RNA (633 nucleotides) under uncultured Bacteroidales bacterium. RNAcentral's name for it is "bacterial SSU rRNA". It matches the Rfam family "Bacterial small subunit ribosomal RNA", at positions 85 to 715 of the family's 1533-position model. Lineage: Bacteria; Pseudomonadati; Bacteroidota; Bacteroidia; Bacteroidales. The record is from RNAcentral.